RNAcentral lists this ribosomal RNA (288 nucleotides) under uncultured bacterium. Its description in RNAcentral is "partial 16S ribosomal RNA". It matches the Rfam family "Bacterial small subunit ribosomal RNA", at positions 28 to 311 of the family's 1533-position model. The record is from RNAcentral.
GAUUAACGCUAGCGGCAGGCCUAAUACAUGCAAGUCGAACGGCAGCACGGGUAGCAAUACCUGGUGGCGAGUGGCGCACGGGUGCGUAACGCGUAUGCAAUCUACCUGUAACUGGGGAAUAGCCUUCCGAAAGGAAGAUUAAUACCGCAUAAUAUCACGAGACGGCAUCGUUUUGUGAUCAAAUCUCCGGAGGUUACAGAUGAGCAUGCGUGACAUUAGCUAGUUGGUGAGGUAACGGCUCACCAAGGCUACGAUGUCUAGGGGGUCUGAGAGGAUGAUCCCCACCAC